GGGUCCACAACUUCCUUUCCAUUUUGCUGGUGGAGGGCCAAGCCCGUCAUCCUUAAAGCUCUCGGAUUGUGGAGUUAUUCCUGGUACAUGAUAAGAAUAUUGAUAAACAUAGAAUUAUAACAAGAAACCAAAUUUUUAUUCGUUUAGUUAAUGGUUUUCUACCUGUAUCCAGUAGACCGACUAUGAUGUUGCUCUCAGUUUUAAAAUUUCUUCUUGCCGAUGGAUUUAGCCCAAUAAAUUCCCACGAUUUAGUGGUAUGUAAUUUGUGAUACCGGUUGGCGAAGAUGGAAAGUACUUCAUCCAUAUCUGUAAAAAAAAAAUAUUCCUUCAUGACCUCCAAACGGUAAAACAAGAUGUAAUCAUAAAUGACGGUUUAAUUAACAUACCAGAUAAUGCCGUUGCUUCAUCUUCCGACAGUUUUGCUGCAAAUGCAUUGAAGCUUCUUGUGUAGCUAUGAACAAGGGACUCUGAGGCAUCACUUUCACUGUUCCAAUAUGGAAUUCACAAGUCAUUCUUGUAGAUUAAUUUCUUUAGGGGGCCGAGGUUGGAUAGUUGGAUCACUUGUCAUUACUCAUAAAUUUGGAAAUUUCAUGAACAUAAAUUUGUUUCCGUAUUGCAAUAUCUAUGUAUAUACUCAUAUAUAUAAACUCAAAACACACACGGAGAUCAGAUAUACUCAACCAACCUUCCCUUCAAGGAUGAAAGGACAUCAAUAUGUGUCUUGAGUGCCAAUCUAUCAGUCACUGGAUGAUCUCUCAAGAAGACAAUGUAAAAUUCCUGCAAAGAAUAGGAUCACAAUAUUGAUAUAAUCCAAAAACUCAAAACAUAAACUAAGACAUGUUCCUAAUAAAUUUAGAGUAAGCUACACAAAUCCUUUUUUUGUGACUCUGUUGUUCAUUUUUUCUAAUUUACUGGAAGAGCUGACUAAUGUUUACCUUCUGCAGAUUCCCAUAGGCAAUUUCAAGACCUGCAAAGGUAAGGAAAAGAAAAAGACUGUACAGUGGAAGCAACUCAAUGUAAACCCUCUUAGACAUCUUAAACCAUCAACUCAUAUAUUUGUGCAUGUAUUCUGAGUGUUUUUUUCACAUUUAAAUAGGCUGAAUUGCAAGGCAUUGCAGAAGAAGCAAACAAUGUAAUCUUGAAUAGAUAAAGGAUAAGAUGUGACUUUAGCUUAAAUUCUUACAGGUUUUGGAUUGGCAAAUCUUAUACGAAAGAUAGAAAAAGUAUGUGAUGUUAUUUUGACAAAAAGUAUGUGAUGUUAUUUUGACAUUUUGACAACGAAUAUGAUGUUAUUUUGACAAAGCAUAUGAUGUUAUUUUGAAAGAGAAUGUCUUGAAUUUUGUAUUAAUAUUUGAGAGAAAACUUUAUGCAGCAUUCAUCUUCUAAUUUCGGUUACUUUUACGGGAUUGCAGUGUUUUAUUUGCUUUACGAAAUGACCGCUGAGAAUAAAAUACUUUAAAGUUGGGUUUUGAUAUUCAAUAAAUAUAGGGCUAUGAUGUUAAAUGUGGGAAUAUAUUUCAUAGGUCUCAAACUGAAAUUAUUAGCAACAACUAAGUUCAAACGCUCUACCCAACCUAUUUAUAUUAUCUCUUGAAUGACUUUGAAUUUUGGUCCAUUUAGCCCUGUUAUUGGUUCAACUAAAAGCCUAACCUAACAAUACUUGUAUAUGAGCUUACCCCUAGCCUUUUUUGAGUGUGUGAUUUGUGUGUUUUGAGAGGAGAAAAAGUGGCUGCCAUUGAGAGACAAAAAAGGGGCUGCCUUUGUGGUGCCAAAAACCAGCGACUUCCCUUUCACUUUGUGGUCUCUUCCUUGCCUUGUUUCAUGGUGUUUCGUCUUGCCUUUGUCGCUACGAAUCAUUACCAUUAUCUUAUUCUUUGUGGGUGAGAUUGAGAAGCAACUGAGGUCACGGGCGGAGCCAUGUAUGCACUCAACUUUGGGAAAGAAUAAUGAUUAGUGUGGAGUAGCUUCGGUAAAAAUAUGUUUUACUAAACUCGGCCAUGUAUAGUUCAGUAACUCUGGAAAACCGGAAGCAGCUUCCUCCAUGUGAGAAAAGUUGGUGGGAGAAAAAAAUUGUGCCCGCACUGAAUUUUUUUUUCUAGCUCCGCCCCUGACCGAGGUGGAUAUAUCGGUUGUGGAUUAGAGCCGUUUGAAUUGGUUGUUUGGUAGAGAAAGAUAAUGUGAAACUGAGCUUGAAACACACUGAUUCGACGACCCUUGGAGCGAGCUUCAGUGACAUUUAAUGUUGGUUUGGCAAGUUGCAGUGAAUAAAUUAAACAUAAUCGUAACCUAAUCAUUCAUUUGCUGACGUUAAUCAUUUCAUCAAACUUAAUUUGUGAUGUCUUAUUAUGAUUAUGACAACACUAAAUUUUUCCAUGCAACUAUAAUAAAACCAAGUUUGAUCUUUUACCUUCUUUUAUAUACUCCUUUGCUACCACAAUCUUCUAAUUGAACACGUCAAAAGAAUAUAUUUGAUAUGAUCAGCUCUCAGUUCACAAGGUUCUCAAAUCAAAUGAGGAAUGUUCGGAAGCAGGUAACACGAGCUCUUUGUCCCACAGGUCUAUCCAGAAGCAACUGUAGUUCACCAAUUCCACCUAGUGCUUCUAUCCUUCGGCAAAGAUAUGACAAAAACAAAUGUUUAUCAUGUCUCGUUUUCUUGUCCUUUCCAAUUAUGUUCAGUAGAGUGUACCAUUCAUUUCAGAAAUUCAAGUGAAUUGACUUUUUCCGUAUAUUGUUUUACCAAAUCGUAGGACUUGAUAGUAAAAAAAUAUGAAUGAAAAUUAAGAACCAUAUUAUCUAGAACUCCUUGCUUGGAUUCAAAUGCAAGUUUCCCACCUUGAUUACUUUGGUAGCAAAGCUGAAAGCUAGCUUAAAGUUUGUGUAAAUCACUUGUUAAGUUAAUCAGUUUCCAAUUUUUACAACGCAAGCAUCGUAAAAUGGUUGCUUGUUUGAUGAAUUUAUUGACCAAAACAAUUCAAAUUCUUCUUUUGUAGUAAGCUUUACGACUCUUAAAACUCUCUAAUAUUUUUAUCGAGUCAAGAACUUGGCUAGCCCAUGCUGCCAUCCAAAUUGAUUCUACUGCAAGAUACAAUGGUGAAUCUGAGGUUCAUGAAGCUUAGCUAAUUGAAAUUAUUAGUUAUGGGACUUGUGGCUAUGAUGAAUUAUACAGCAAAAAGUUCUGUUUAUUUAGAGAAACAAAACCUUCAUCCACUACACUGCAAUAAAACGAUUCCCAUAGGCAAUUUCAAGACCUGCAAAGGUAAGGAAAAGAAAAAGACUGUACAGUGGAAGCAACUCAAUGUAAACCCUCUUAGACAUCUUAAACCAUCAACUCAUAUAUUUGUGCAUGUAUUCUGAGUGUUUUUUUCACAUUUAAAUAGGCUGAAUUGCAAGGCAUUGCAGAAGAAGCAAACAAUGUAAUCUUGAAUAGAUAAAGGAUAAGAUGUGACUUUAGCUUAAAUUCUUACAGGUUUUGGAUUGGCAAAUCUUAUACGAAAGAUAGAAAAAGUAUGUGAUGUUAUUUUGACAAAAAGUAUGUGAUGUUAUUUUGACAUUUUGACAACGAAUAUGAUGUUAUUUUGACAAAGC
This 3585-nucleotide long non-coding RNA is filed under the name Olea europaea (common olive). RNAcentral's name for it is "long non-coding RNA (OEUR_LNC010919)". The record is from RNAcentral. Lineage: Eukaryota; Viridiplantae; Streptophyta; Magnoliopsida; Lamiales; Oleaceae.